UGCAGUCGAGCGGGGGAGGUUGCUUCGGUAACUGACCUAGCGGCGGACGGGUGAGUAAUGCUUAGGAAUCUGCCUAUUAGUGGGGGACAACAUUCCGAAAGGGAUGCUAAUACCGCAUACGCCCUACGGGGGAAAGCAGGGGAUCUUCGGACCUUGCGCUAAUAGAUGAGCCUAAGUCGGAUUAGCUAGUUGGUGGGGUAAAGGCCUACCAAGGCGACGAUCUGUAGCGGGUCUGAGAGGAUGAUCCGCCACACUGGGACUGAGACACGGCCCAGACUCCUACGGGAGGCAGCAGUGGGGAAUAUUGGACAAUGGGCGGAAGCCUGAUCCAGCCAUGCCGCGUGUGUGAAGAAGGCCUUUUGGUUGUAAAGCACUUUAAGCGAGGAGGAGGCUCUUAAGGUUAAUACCCUUGAUGAGUGGACGUUACUCGCAGAAUAAGCACCGGCUAACUCUGUGCCAGCAGCCGCGGUAAUACAGAGGGUGCGAGCGUUAAUCGGAUUUACUGGGCGUAAAGCGUGCGUAGGCGGCUGAUUAAGUCGGAUGUGAAAUCCCUGAGCUUAACUUAGGAAUUGCAUUCGAUACUGGUCAGCUAGAGUAUGGGAGAGGAUGGUAGAAUUCCAGGUGUAGCGGUGAAAUGCGUAGAGAUCUGGAGGAAUACCGAUGGCGAAGGCAGCCAUCUGGCCUAAUACUGACGCUGAGGUACGAAAGCAUGGGGAGCAAACAGGAUUAGAUACCCUGGUAGUCCAUGCCGUAAACGAUGUCUACUA
Molecule: ribosomal RNA, 767 nt
Filed under: Acinetobacter sp.
Lineage: Bacteria; Pseudomonadati; Pseudomonadota; Gammaproteobacteria; Moraxellales; Moraxellaceae
Description: bacterial SSU rRNA
Rfam family: Bacterial small subunit ribosomal RNA
Source: RNAcentral